GAUGAACGCUGGCGGCGUGCCUAAUACAUGCAAGUCGAGCGAACAGACGAGGAGCUUGCUCCUCUGACGUUAGCGGCGGACGGGUGAGUAACACGUGGAUAACCUACCUAUAAGACUGGGAUAACUUCGGGAAACCGGAGCUAAUACCGGAUAACAUAUUGAACCGCAUGGUUCAAUAGUGAAAGACGGUUUUGCUGUCACUUAUAGAUGGAUCCGCGCCGCAUUAGCUAGUUGGUAAGGUAACGGCUUACCAAGGCAACGAUGCGUAGCCGACCUGAGAGGGUGAUCGGCCACACUGGAGCUGAGACGCGGUCCAGACUCCGACGGGAGGCAGCAGUAGGGAAUCUUCCGCAAUGGGCGAAAGCCUGACGGAGCAGCGCCGCGUGGAUGAUGAAGGUCUUCGGGUCGUAAAACUCUGUUAUUAGUGAAAACAAAUGUGUAAGUAACUAUGCACGUCUUGACGGUACCUGGUCAAAAAGCCACGGCUAACUACGUG
Molecule: ribosomal RNA, 496 nt
Filed under: uncultured bacterium
Lineage: Bacteria
Description: partial 16S ribosomal RNA
Rfam family: Bacterial small subunit ribosomal RNA
Source: RNAcentral